Molecule: transfer RNA, 76 nt
Filed under: bacterium
Lineage: Bacteria
Description: tRNA-Ala
Rfam family: tRNA
About the family: Transfer RNA (tRNA) molecules are approximately 80 nucleotides in length. Their secondary structure includes four short double-helical elements and three loops (D, anti-codon, and T loops). Further hydrogen bonds mediate the characteristic L-shaped molecular structure. tRNAs have two regions of fundamental functional importance: the anti-codon, which is responsible for specific mRNA codon recognition, and the 3' end, to which the tRNAs corresponding amino acid is attached (by aminoacyl-tRNA synthetases). tRNAs cope with the degeneracy of the genetic code in two manners: having more than one tRNA (with a specific anti-codon) for a particular amino acid; and 'wobble' base-pairing, i.e. permitting non-standard base-pairing at the 3rd anti-codon position.
Source: RNAcentral
GGGCCUGUAGCUCAGUUGGAAGAGCAUCGCAUUUGCAAUGCGAAGGUCACCAGUUCGAGCCUGGUCAGGUCCACCA